AGGGCAGGGGGGACAGUGUUUGGGGUUACUGGGGGGGUCUCCAGGCAGGCAGGGCUAGGGGGACAGAGUCUGAGGUUGCUGGGGGGUCCCCAGGCCAGCAAGGCUGGGGGCAGGGUUGAGGGGGCUGUGGGGCAGAUGGUCCCCAGGCUGGCAGGGCUGGGGGCAGAGUUGAGGGGUGCUGUGGGGCAGACUGUACCCAGGCCGGCAGGGCUGGAUUGAGGGGUGCUGUGGGGCAGAGGGUCCCCAGGGCAGCAGGGCUGGGGGCUGGGUUGAGGGGUGCUGUGGGGCAGAGGGUCCCCAGGGCAGCAGGGCUGGGGGCAG
This is a long non-coding RNA of Gopherus flavomarginatus (Mexican gopher tortoise), 321 nucleotides long. RefSeq lists it as uncharacterized. NCBI's taxonomy places the organism in Eukaryota, Metazoa, Chordata, Testudines, Testudinidae. The transcript has 2 exons. The record is from RefSeq and is a predicted model, not a curated record.